RNAcentral lists this long non-coding RNA (6660 nucleotides) under Nicotiana tabacum (common tobacco). RNAcentral describes it as "long non-coding RNA (NTAB_LNC003738)". Lineage: Eukaryota; Viridiplantae; Streptophyta; Magnoliopsida; Solanales; Solanaceae. The record is from RNAcentral.
UUUCUUCCCCGGUUAAUCCAAUAACCCCAUGCGAAUAAGCCAUUGAUUAGGGCAACAAUAUAAAAAGCGGCGAUAACAGCGAAAAUAGCAAAAUCUCAAUAGUUUAGGUAUGAGGCUGCGGUGAAAGCGGAGAGCUGUGGGGAGUUUCUAUGGGUGGUUUUUGCCCCUCUUUGUCUUUCUUCGCCGCCGAUGAUCACUCAAAUGAAAAAAAUAAAUUCCGAUUGCAAAACUAGCCUUUCGGUGAAAAUAAGUGUUACUCCGUUCACUUUUACUUUUGGGCAAUGAGGCUAUGAAGAUUAUUGUCUUCUGCGGAAGAUGAAACAGACAUAUUGCUAUUGAGCUCGAAAAAACUGUAACUUGGCGUGGCAGCUCAGAUGGGUCUGUGAGAUAUUGGAGAAAGUUCCCUUUCAGGGUGUUUUUACCUCUCAUAAGGCUAACUGAUGCUUGCAGCCAUGACGGUUUUUUCAAAGCUUUUUGGUUUUUGUCUGAGAAAAGGCGAAUCUGAGCCUACCCCAUUACUUUGAUUUUUGUUUUUGGUUUUCCCUAUGCUCCUUGAUUAUGUAGGCGAAAAUCUAAGCUCAUCCCUCGAUUUAACUUUUAGUUCCAUUUCUGAGACUGUAACUCGGAGAUGCUUUGUGGGAAUAAUUCUUAGCUUGAAGAUGGUUGAUUUUUCCAUAAUGUUAGUGGAAUAAUUUCUCCAAAAUUUAUGAGUUUUAGUAAUUGAAUGAGAAACGGCGAUGAUAGCAAAAAUCAUUGAUGGCCAAAGAUCAAAUAAGAAUGCCAAACUACCACAGAUCUUCUAUUUGUUGUGAAUUAAUCUCUUGACUAGUAUGGUAACUCAACCUUAACAGCACUGUAUUUUUAUUUGCGCCGAUUGAAACAAACUGAGUCUGAGUGUUGUCCGAUGUGGCAUUGCUAAAAAGAAGUCUUGUUAGUUACAAAUCAUGUCAAGAUCCCUUGCUGCAAGGUACUCUUGCAUUUUUGCAGACAAAAACUUGCAGGUGAUGGGUUUUUGUUCCCAUUAAGAUGAAGUACUAGUUUGAAGUGGGGCUAGAUUCUGAUGUGUAAGAAAUAUUGUAAAGAAACUACACUUAUGUUGAUGAAAACUCCAGGAACUGCGUUUGUCUUUAAGUUCCAAAUUUCCGUGAAAUCACUGUAGAUUCUAGCUACAGCAGGAACGAAAUGGAGAGAGGAGGAUUGGAAAUCAAUAAUGUUUGAUUGGGAUGAUCUAAUGUUCUUGAAAGAGCUAUUUUGCUUGGUCACAGCUAUGGACCUUGUUGAUAUGAGUCAAUAGCAUCUGCCCCAUAUCUUAGAUAUUUCUGAUAAGCAGGAUAAGUUGAUCCAGAUAUUCUCCAUUAGCUCCUUUAAGUAAUAACCACCACUACAACGACAACAUACUCAGUGCGAUCCAUAAGUGGGGUUUGGGAAGGGUGGAAUGUAGGCAACCCUAAGUAAUAAUACCUUGUUGAUAUGAGUCAAUAGCAUCUGCCCCAUAUCUUAGAUAUUUCUGAUAAGCAGGAUAAGUUGAUCCAGAUAUUCUCCAUUAGCUCCUUUAAGUAAUAACCACCACUACAACGACAACAUACUCAGUGCGAUCCAUAAGUGGGGUUUGGGAAGGGUGGAAUGUAGGCAACCCUAAGUAAUAAUGCCAAUUGAAGGUCUGUUAUUAAUGCAGAGAUGAAAGGAUAUCCCUUUAAUUAAUGCCUUUCUAGAGCUUUUGGCUAAAAUCAAGUAUCCAAGAACCACAAAUAGUAGUCUCUAGCAGGGUAAAUGGAGAUCCAGCCAAGCAUAGCUGCUCUAGUGAGUUAUGAGCUAUUGCGCUUGCAAUAAUUAUAUGUAAAAACUUCCAUUUACUUUUUAUUUGUAAUUCUAGGCAUUGAACAGGUAAAUGAAACCCUAUGUGUGUUCCUUUUUCUCUUUAAUGUGGACCUGUUUGCGAGUGUGCAUUACGAAAUUUGUCGAUAUCAGAAGGUGUACAUCUUUAUAAAACUGCCACCAACCACAACCAAAUAAAAAAUUCUCUGUUUUUUUAUUCUGGGGAUGUAAAUGCUAAGGUCUAUUUUUGAGUUACGUUAUUGCUAAAGAUGUACUUCUUAACACCUUAGGCUAUUUUUCUCCCCUUUUUUUUUGUUUUUUAAAACUCUCUGUAAUGAAUGACAAUGCUCUGCCUCUUUGAUAUGAGUGUGCCUAAAAGUGUUCGCUUUUUUACUUGAAUUUUAGGAAUGUGAGUGCUAACAUCUAUUUUUGAGUUUCCUUGUUGAUAAAUAUGCUCUUUUGAUUGAUACUUAAUCCUAUUCUCCACUCUCUUUUGAACUCUGUAAUGAAUGGGAAUGCUCUUGCUCUGAGAUUGGUGUGACUUAAUGUGUUUUUCUUUAUCUAGAAUCGUAGGCAUCAUUAUUAAAAGUGUACUUUCUGAUACUUUAGCCUUUAUUUUCUGUGUUUGAACUCUGUAUAAAGAAUCACAAUGCUGAUUCCUUGAUGUGGGUGUGCCUAAAUGUGUUUUCUUUUGUCUAGAAACUUAGGCAUGUGAAUACUGACGUCUAUAUUAAGAUACUUUGUUGCUGAGAUGUUUUAUUGGAGUAAUCCUUAUUGGUAAAGCGCAUAAUUUCAGUCAUGUUACCUGUAUUUUGAACUGUAAUUUGAUACUCAACUUUGAAAUAAUAUAAAACCACUCGAUCAACUUAUGCAGGUGCUAUCUCCGCACUUCAUGUUGUCAGAAUACAAGCCAAAAGCUAAGACAGGCGAUGCAUUUACAAGUGAGUAAGCUCAUUUUAUAAAUUAUGCAAAUUUUGUAGUUGUUGCCUGCUUUAUGAAUACCCACUAAUCUUUGAGAUCGAUUCCAUGCUAAUUUGUUUUUUGAGUCCUUGUUUCUAUUGGUAUUUUGCCGCAUUUUGUGAUUGACGUAAACAAGAUGUCAUACUUCUUGCUCUUCUCCUUCAAUUAAUUGUGUAUCCUGUGCAUAAAGGAAUUCAUCCUAAAUGAUGAGUAAUUCAAGUAAGCUAUGGAUUAACAUCCAAAUGAAGCUUUUUUGUCAUAGUUACACUGAUAGAUGAGAUUCCUUUAUAUGUGUUAUCCUAGGGUUCCUUUUUCUUGAUGAAUGAUCUCAUAGUUUGUUAUGUUGUAGAUAACAAGAAAUAUAAUACUUGAUAAAAAAAGAAGAGAGAUAAUACUUAUUAAAAAAGAGAUAUUACAUGAGCGCCGAAGGGAGUGGCAUAGUUGUCAAUGAAGUGAGUGAAAACCCUAGAGACUGGUUCAAAUCCCAACCGCAACAACAAAAAAGGCUGUUAUUUCUUCUUAUCUGUCUAUGCCUUGGUAUGUUAGAGUUAACCAAUACCUGUAUUGAUGAAAGGCAAGCAUGUAUCUAGUGGAAUUGUCGAGGUGUGCACAAUAAUGGUCCGGAUACAACCAUUAUAAAAAAGAAAUACAUGUCUUUUCUAAACUGCUUUUUGCUGAUCCUUGGAUGUUACAGAAGCAUUUUACCUCCCAAAAUUUUCCAGUAAGUUUUCGUGCACCUCUUACUAGAGCGGUUUUCAAAAAUCCGGUUAAGCAACAUAUACAUCGCUUUUGCUGCUUUGAAAGGGUGUUUAACAUUAUUUAAACGGAAAAGGGCCAACAUUGCCCCUAGACACUGUUAAAUUGAACAAUUUUGCCCUCCUUUAAAAAAGUUUCUCGUUCCUAUUCCUGCCGUUAACAAAGUGGCUCGAUUUUGCUCUUAUGGGCUAACAACAACAAUUAAAGGACAAAUUUAGACCAUUCACAAAGUCCAUUCUGGCACUACUUAGCAAAGAGGGAUAAGUUAGAAUAGGAAAAUCACAACAACUGUUAUUAUUCUGGAGAAUGAUUUGCAAGGCUUCAUAUCUUUCACCUCAUAACUCCCUGUAAAUUUUGUAAUGCAUAACUUCUCAUCCUUCUCAAUUACCUCAAAUCGAAUUCUGUAAAAAUUAAACCCAAGGUCAACAUAUCCACCUUCAAUCAGCACAGAUUGCUUGUAUAUUUUCUCAUUAUCCACUAUGUUGAAUCUCUCGAAAUAUGGUAUUCCUGGUGUACCUGUUUUAAUAAAAGUUAAACACGAUGCAUGUAGAAAAUACAUAUCAGAUGUUGAUCAAUAAUUUGUUGUAAUACUUUAGAUGAACAUCCUUAUGGUCAACUUUGGUCUCUGUGUGGGUGUAUAUAGUAUAGUUGAAUGUGACAUGCACUGUCUUGACUUCUUAUCUCUUUGGAGAUUCAUUCAAAAAGAAAUCUACAGUACCUUUCUUUAUAGUAUGAUCUUUCUGUGUCCAUGUCUUUGGCUAUGUAAUAUCCAGGUUGUUUUGGCUUAUCCACCUUAGUAAAUAGUCAUUCUUUGGUGAUAAUGAUGAUGAUUCUUCAGAGCAAAUGGUAUUAGGAAUUGAUAUGGCAAGAGACGCAUAUCUUGGUGAGAUAAGCCUAUCCUGGAAGGUUACUACCAUGCCCAUGAUGGUGUUGGAAAAUCUCAAUGCUGAACAUAAAGCCAAUUUAUGCUCACUUUUAAGCCAAAACAAUGUUAAAAGUAGGGCAUUAUUUCAUAGCUAAAGUAGGUGCUUGGCUUAUAUGUAUGGAGUAACUUUCUUCAAUUCUUGUGCUUUCCCUGCUCAUCCUUUAAUUUCUCUUGUAAAGUUCCAGCAAUUUUAAUCAAUGUGCAUCAUAUUUAGUUCGCAUAUAUACGUAUUAUCUUACAAAGAAAAGCCUUGUAGAACAGCACGUCCUUAAAGUACUUGUAAGGACAGACAUGUUCUUGUAAUGUGUUUUUAGUUCACAGUACUGCGACAAAAGACUGUUAGUGUUAGUUUGUGGUUUUGAUGAAUAUAGUUCUCUUAUGUGUGCUUUAAGUGAAGAAGGCAAAAACUCUAGCAACGAUUCUUUUUCCUCUAAAAAGAAGCAUUGGUAGAGUUUUUGUCGCCCACUUAAUGCUCGCAUGCCAUCUAUCUGAGAAGGAAGCUCUAAAUAUAAAUCGAGAAUUUAUUUCAUGUAAUGAUCAUCUUUAGAUUGUAAUUUAUUAAGUAAUAGGAUUAGGCAAAGGUCCAAAUACAUCCAUGUACUUUCGAAAAUGAUCUAAGAAUACCCCUCAUUAUACUAUUGGGUUAUCUAUAUCCCUGCAGUCAUACUUUGGGUUUAAAUAUAUCCUUUAUUUAAACGGAGGUACACAUGUCAUCAUGCAACAGGCCAAUUAUAAAUAUCUCCUAAUUAAUUAAAAAGUAAUUUUCUAAAGUAAUUUUUUUUUUUGUAAAAAUUGGAAAAUACUGAAAAAAAUUGAAAAAUAUUUCUAAAACAAUGUUUUGUAAAAACUGUUUUGUAAAAACUGAAAAAAAAACUGAAAAGCAAUUUUAAAAGCUGAAAAAAACUGAAAUUUUUAACUGAAAACUGAAAAAAAAGAAAAUAUUUAUUUUUUCAGNNNNNNNNNNNNNNNNNNNNNNNNNNNNNNNNNNNNNNNNNNNNNNNNNNNNNNNNNNNNNNNNNNNNNNNNNNNNNNNNNNNNNNNNNNNNNNNNNNNNNNNNNNNNNNNNNNNNNNNNNNNNNNNNNNNNNNNNNNNNNNNNNNNNNNNNNNAAAAAAUCAGCCUUUUCCAGUUUUUACAAAAAAAAAUUGCUUUAAAAAAUUACUUUUUAAUUAAUUAGGAAAUAUUUAGAAUUGGCCAACAGGACGAUGACACGUGUCCCUCCGUUAAAUGAGGGGCAUAUUUGAACUCAAAGUAUGAUUGCAUGGGUAUAGAUAACCCAAUAGUAUAACGAAGGGUAUUCUUAGACCAUUUUCGAAAGUACAUGGUAUAUUUGAACCUUUGCCGAAUAGGAUUUAUCCUUCUCAAAACCAUUAGUGCCAGACUACUGCUGACACCAUGUAGUAAUGUGAACAUCAGGAUUUUUAAUAUCUCAUGGAGAUAAACAUGGAAUACAUGUGAUAAAAUAGUAACCAUGUACGAAAAGUUUCUGCUGCAGCGGGUUUAUGCCUCUCUGUAUAGGUGUUUGUUGUUUGUAUCAUGUCUUUCCCUUAGAUUCGGUCUACUCUUGUUUAGUCAACAUUGUCCUCUACUUUUUCUUAUUCUGAUCAUUGAAUGCAUCAUCUAAAUCUUGCUUCUUGCAGCAUAAUAUAUAUGGAAUUAUUCUCCUAAUUAGAGAUUUCGAUAUUUCUGAUCCAUUUCUAUUUGAGUAUAUCUUGUCCUCAUUGCAUUUAAAAUAUAUUAAUACUUCAUUGCAGCUUUAAUCUCAAUUGUGUUGCUGGAUUUAAUACUCUUUAAGUUUACUUAGCUUUCUGUUUUGAUUCUUUUUGUCGUUGGGUGGUGCAGGUGGUGGUGUUUGAGCAAUUUAUCCCAUAGUAUUUUCUGUCAGUUACUUCUGCCGCUAACUUUGUAUAGCUGAAAGUUGCCAAAUCGGUUGAAAGAAUUGGAAGUUCACUCUCUGAUUGCUGUAGCGUUGUGCAUAUUUACCCUUUAUGCAUUUCAAUCUGCCGGUGAAAAGGUGCACUUGAGAGAAUUAUACAUUUUGUCAAUAUUAAUUUUUCAAAGCCAAUUGUCGCCUAGGGCACACCAUUGCCGUUCUUGUGGAAUGUGUAUACGGGAUGAUAUUCGGCCAAAAAUGCAUAUAUUUAAUCAUUGUUGUCUCACAUUCUAGUACUUUUAAUUUUCUCUCGAGUGUUAAUUAUAUCACUU